This 419-nucleotide ribosomal RNA is filed under the name bacterium. RNAcentral describes it as "partial 16S ribosomal RNA". It matches the Rfam family "Bacterial small subunit ribosomal RNA", at positions 355 to 776 of the family's 1533-position model. The record is from RNAcentral.
CGGGGGAUAUUGCACAAUGGGCGAAAGCCUGAUGCAGCGACGCCGCGUGGGGGAUGAAGGCCUUCGGGUUGUAAACUUCUUUUGCUCUGAACAAGGCGCACCAUGGGGUGUGUUGAGUGUAGGGGUUGAUUAGCGCCGGCUAACUACGUGCCAGCAGCCGCGGUAAUACGUAGGGCGCGAGCGUUGUCCGGAAUUAUUGGGCGUAAAGGGCUUGUAGGUGGCUGGUUGCGUCUGUCGUGAAAGCUCAUGGCUUAACUGUGGGUUUGCGGUGGGUACGGGCUGGCUUGAGUGCAGUAGGGGAGGCUGGAAUUCCUGGUGUAGCGGUGGAAUGCGCAUAUAUCAGGAGGAAUACCGGUGGCGAAGGCGGGUCUCUGGGCUGUUACUGACACUGAGGAGCGAAAGCAUGGGGAGCGAACAGG